This 445-nucleotide ribosomal RNA is filed under the name uncultured bacterium. Its description in RNAcentral is "partial 16S ribosomal RNA". It matches the Rfam family "Bacterial small subunit ribosomal RNA", at positions 354 to 796 of the family's 1533-position model. The record is from RNAcentral.
GUGAGGAAUAUUGGUCAAUGGGCGGGAGCCUGAACCAGCCAAGUCGCGUGAAGGAAGAAGGAUCUAUGGUUCGUAAACUUCUUUUGCAGGGGAAUAAAGUGCAGGACGUGUCCUGUUUUGUAUGUACCCUGAGAAUAAGGAUCGGCUAACUCCGUGCCAGCAGCCGCGGUAAUACGGAGGAUCCGAGCGUUAUCCGGAUUUAUUGGGUUUAAAGGGUGCGUAGGUGGUUUGAUAAGUCAGCGGUGAAAGUUUGCAGCUUAACUGUAAAAAUGCCGUUGAAACUGUCGGACUUGAGUGUAAAUGAGGUAGGCGGAAUGCGUGGUGUAGCGGUGAAAUGCAUAGAUAGCACGCAGAACUCCGAUUGCGAAUGCAGCUUACUAAGCUACAACUGACACUGAAGCACGAAAGCGUGGGGAUCAAACAGGAUUAGAUACCCUGGUAGUCC